RNAcentral lists this ribosomal RNA (301 nucleotides) under uncultured bacterium. RNAcentral's name for it is "partial 16S ribosomal RNA". It matches the Rfam family "Bacterial small subunit ribosomal RNA", at positions 509 to 807 of the family's 1533-position model. The record is from RNAcentral.
CAGUAGCCGCGGGAAUACGUAGGUGGCAAGCGUUGUCCGGAAUUAUUGGGCGAAAAGGGCUCGCAGGCGGUUUCUUAAGUCUGAUGUGAAAGCCCCCGGCUCAACCGGGGAGGGUCAUUGGAAACUGGGAAACUUGAGUGCAGAAGAGGAGAGUGGAAUUCCACGUGUAGCGGUGAAAUGCGUAGAGAUGUGGAGGAACACCAGUGGCGAAGGCGACUCUCUGGUCUGUAACUGACGCUGAGGAGCGAAAGCGUGGGGAGCGAACAGGAUUAGAUACCCCAGUAGUCCCUGUCUCUUAUAC